Molecule: long non-coding RNA, 1863 nt
Organism: Dermochelys coriacea (leatherback sea turtle)
Lineage: Eukaryota; Metazoa; Chordata; Testudines; Dermochelyidae
Exons: 3
Source: RefSeq, a predicted model, not a curated record
AAUUAUACUGGUAAAAGUCCUAAUGUGGAUGCAGUUAUUCUGGUAUAAAGGUGUCUUAUUCCACUAUAGUUAUUUCCCUUCUUGUAUGGAAAUAGCUACACUUGUAUAAAGCAUCUUUAUAUCAGUAGAGCUGACCCUACACUGGGGUGUUGUAUUGCUUUAAACAUUAGAAGUAUAUUAAAGUGGUAUAACUUUCUAGUGUAGACUGUAAGUUUUCCUGGGUGCUCAGCACAACGGGGUCCUGAAGCUGAUUAGGCGUCUGGGCCUUACUUUGUAAUAUAAAUUGAAAUAGUUAUCAUGCUAUAGUACUGUGCUUCUAUUUCUAUGCAGUACUGAGAAUCAGAAUUGUGGACUUUGGUCAUUAUUUUUUUUCCUAAUAUUGGCCUUGAGUGUUUUUUUAAGUUUAACUAGUCCAAUGGAACCAAUAUGAUCACCUAUAGACCCCUCUGAAUCAGAUCUUGGAAAACAGAAGUUCAGGCAUGCACCUCCAUAGCCACUCAGCCCAAACAGCUACCACACUCUUGGACAGGUAGGUUUCAGACAUAGUCAUCAAAAGAUACUCCAUAGACUAUUAGAGUUCCCUUCCGCAAUGGAUUUUUUUUCUAGCUCUGUGUCUAAGAGCCCAACAAAAUGUGCUUAGAUGGUAAAAGCAAUGGUAACCAGCCUCAAGGAAUAAAGAGAACAAAAAAAAUAUGUUUCUUCUCUUCCUAGUCUUGAAUAUUCAGGAGGGAUGAGAGACCAUAUGGAUCCAAAAGAUGUUUGAAGGCUGCAUUGUUCACCUUUGCCACCAGAGGGCAAUAAACAAUACUUCAUAUUUGACCUGAACCUGCAGAUGUUCAGCUUCUCCAAGUCAGGCUUUUUUUAUUAAAUCUUAAAAUGAACUAUGGUUUUACUUAAUUUUUAGUAUCAGUAAUAGAGGCACUUCUAAAAUUUCUGUGGACUCUCUCCAUGAAGAUCAGGUCCUCAGACACAUCUGGUAUCAUCUUUUCCACUAUCCUCAUCUCAAAAACCUGAAUAGUGAACCUGAUGCUGUGAGGAGUUGAGUCCUCAUCUUUCUUUGAAGUCAGUGGCACUUGAAGCACUCAAUACUUUGUAGAAUUAGACCGAAGAUUCCAAAUACACAAACACAUUUGUGUUCUGAUUUUCUUGUACUUCCCACCUUCUGUUUUAGUGGUUUAUUUCUUUCUGUAGGAAGUUUACAGUAAUGAGAGAAGAAAUAUUAAAUAUGGUGACACAGAUCAUAUUUUAACAAGUACAUGGAAAAACAUUCUUUAGAAUUUUCAGGUAAAAGGCUUAAUUUAAAUUGCAAUUUUCAUUUAUAAAACAAAUAAUCUUUUAAUCCUCCUAAAUUUAAACAGUUCAAAUUUCCAAUGGCAAAUGUCAGUUCUCACUUACAUUUUUACCUGUUCUAAACUUCAAAGAACUAUUGGGGGGGGAAAAAUCAUUGUAUCCCAUGUCCUGUAAUGUUUAAAAAUGGUUCUGUCACAGUUAGUUAAAGUCAAUCCUCUGUGGAGCAGCAAUGGAAGAAAGAUAAUGUUUGUUUGUUUAAUUAAAAAAUAAAACUUCUCCCAAAAGAAUAUUAAAAAGUUAUUUGAGGUGCUCAUUUAUUUUAUUUCCUGAUGAUUUGACCAUCAUAAGAAUGGCCAUACUGGGUCAGACCAAUGAUCCAUCUAGCCCAGUAUCCUGUCUUCCAACAGUGGCCAAUGCCAGGUGCUUGAGAGGGCAGAGGGAAUAAACCAGAACAGGUAAUCAUUAAGUGAUCCAUCCAAUUUUCCAUUUCCAGCUUCUGGCAAACAGAGGCUAGAGACACUUCAGAGCAUGGUUUUGUCUCCCUGCCCAUCCUGGCUAAUAGCUAUUGAUGGA